This is a long non-coding RNA of Quercus robur (English oak), 309 nucleotides long. RefSeq lists it as uncharacterized. NCBI's taxonomy places the organism in Eukaryota, Viridiplantae, Streptophyta, Magnoliopsida, Fagales, Fagaceae. The transcript has 3 exons. The record is from RefSeq and is a predicted model, not a curated record.
AGGCAGCAAACCCAUUUUUCUUGUUGGCUGGUCCCAAUGUGAUUGAAUCUGAAGAGCAUGUUUUUCGAAAGGCUAAGCAGAUUAAGACCAUUGCGUUGAAGUGCUUCACUUGAUGACCAAUGUUUUUCUGUAGAUGAGGAGAGCAUCUAAGCAUGGUUGCAACCUUUGUCAUUGUUUGCCAAUGGACUUGUCAGGGAGAGAAAUUCAUCAACCUCAUCAAGCCUAAUAUAUAUUCUAGUAGCCAAAGGUUAAUUCCUGGUAGGCUGGUAUGUUUUAAAUAAUUUUCUUUUGGAUAUAUAAUCUGCAAUA